GAUGAACGCUAGCUACAGGCUUAACACAUGCAAGUCGAGGGACCGGCGCACGGGUGAGUAACACGUAUCACACCUGCCCUUUACUCGGGGAUAGCCUUUCGAAAGAAAGAUUAAUACCCGAUAUAAAGGAUGGGGAUGCGUUCCAUUAGGUUGUUGGUGAGGUACCGGCACACCAAGCCUUCGAUGGAUAGGGGUUCUGAGAGGAAGGUCCCCGAGAUUGGAACUGAGACCCGGUCCAAAAUCCUACGGGAGGCAGCGGUGAGGAAUAUAGGUCAAUGGGCGCUAUCCUGAACCAGCCAAGUAGCGUGAAGGAUGAAGGCUGAUUGGGCGUAAACUACUUUUAUAUAAGAAGCUGUAUUAGAUGAAUAAGGAUCGGCUAACUCCGUGCCAGCAGCCGCGGUAAUAC
Molecule: ribosomal RNA, 406 nt
Filed under: uncultured bacterium
Lineage: Bacteria
Description: partial 16S ribosomal RNA
Rfam family: Bacterial small subunit ribosomal RNA
Source: RNAcentral